Molecule: ribosomal RNA, 482 nt
Filed under: uncultured bacterium
Lineage: Bacteria
Description: partial 16S ribosomal RNA
Rfam family: Bacterial small subunit ribosomal RNA
Source: RNAcentral
AUUGAACGCUGGCGGCAUGCCUUACACAUGCAAAUCGAACGGUAACGGGCCUUCGGGUGCCGACGAGUGGCGCACGGGUGGGUAAUACAUCGGAACGUGCCCGAUCGUGGGGGAUAACGAGGCGAAAGCUUUGCUAAUACCGCAUACGAUCUACGGAUGAAAGCAGGGGACCGCAAGGCCUUGCGCGGACGGAGCGGCCGAUGGCAGAUUAGGUAGUUGGUGGGAUAAAAGCUUACCAAGCCGACGAUCUGUAGCUGGUCUGAGAGGAUGAUCAGCCACACUGGGACUGAGACACGGCCCAGACUCCUACGGGAGGCAGCAGUGGGGAAUUUUGGACAAUGGGCGCAAGCCUGAUCCAGCCAUGCCGCGUGCAGGAUGAAGGCCUUCGGGUUGUAAACUGAUUUUGUACGGAACGAAAAGCCUUCUUUUAAUACAGGAGGGUCAUGACGGUACCGGAAGAAUAAGCACCGGCUAACUACGUG